UACGUAGGGUGCAAGCGUUGUCCGGAAUUAUUGGGCGUAAAGAGCUCGUAGGCGGUCAGUCGCGUCUGCUGUGAAAACUCGGGGCUUAACUCCGGGCCUGCAGUGGGUACGGGCUGACUAGAGUUCGGUAGGGGAGACUGGAAUUCCUGGUGUAGCGGUGAAAUGCGCAGAUAUCAGGAGGAACACCGGUGGCGAAGGCGGGUCUCUGGGCCGAUACUGACGCUGAGGAGCGAAAGCGUGGGGAGCGAACAGG
This 253-nucleotide ribosomal RNA is filed under the name uncultured bacterium. Its description in RNAcentral is "partial 16S ribosomal RNA". It matches the Rfam family "Bacterial small subunit ribosomal RNA", at positions 524 to 776 of the family's 1533-position model. The record is from RNAcentral.